Molecule: long non-coding RNA, 1227 nt
Organism: Vigna radiata var. radiata (mung bean)
Lineage: Eukaryota; Viridiplantae; Streptophyta; Magnoliopsida; Fabales; Fabaceae
Exons: 5
Source: RefSeq, a predicted model, not a curated record
GAUACGUGGCAUCCUCUGAUUUGUUGGUUUAAUUGAUUUUUUAUAAAUGUUAAAGUUUGAUUUGGAAGGUAUUUUUGGAAAGGGAUUUUUAUGAAACCAAAGGAGUUUGCGCCCCUUCUUCCCUAUGAAACACACUCUCUCUGUCUAGAAAUUUCAUUUGAAACUCUCGGUCCCAAAGUCUCCGUCCACUCUCACUCGAUUAUUGUGAACUCUUGGCAGGCCACCAAAAUCGUCUUUCUUCAUCCAGGAAGUCCGCCAUUAAAAUCGUUUGUCUUCGUCUACUAUUGUAGUGUUGGGAGAAAGUCUCGAUAGGGGCCAGCGUUGUCAUCUUUUCUCGAAAGAGCAAAAGAAACAAAAAGUUUCUGAAAUAAAGACUGGAAUUGAUGAAGUUGAAGCUUUGAUUCGAAAAAUGGACCUCGAGGCAAGAAGUUUGCAGCCAAACGUCAAUGGUGUGCUUCUUGCUAAGUUGCGGGAGUAUAAAUCGGAUCUAAACAAUCUUAAAACUGAAGUGAAGAAAAUUGUAUCUGAAACCUAUCAUUCACUCGAUGUAUCUGAAAGAAUGGAGACAAUUUAUCUGCAGUUGUGAUUUGCUUCCAGCAGCAACCUCCUCCUCGCAACUUGGCGGCCCCUCGGCCUAGAGUGCACUGGAGUUUCUCUGCUUAAGGUUUGAAGAGUUGCAGAGUUUCCUUGAUAACUUGGAUUGGCAGUUUGAUGUAUGAGCCUCGACAUCUUCGUUGCCUCCUAUUGGUGGUGGUGAUAUUUACACGUCUUCUGCAGAGGUACAUCAUUUGCCUUCAAGGGUGGUUUCUUGGUUUGUCCAGAUUUUACAAGAACAGAUGCAAGACCUUCAAUGGUGGAAUUCUUGAUGAUUGGUUUGUUCAAUUUCUUAGUCUCCUCAUUGGCUAGCAGAAUGAAGAACAAUGCCUUUUCUAAAGAAUACCAAGGAUCCUUCUUUCAUGAAAAGCAAACAAACCUAGAAGAUGAACAUGACAAGAUAUUCAUAGUACAUUGAGUCUAUAGAAGCAAAAGAGAAGCAAGUGAUACUUUUGUAGUCUUAGUUGAACUAAUAAAUCUGCUAGUGUUUAGUAUGGUAUUUAUCAUUGUAAAUGGUUUUGACAUAGUGCUAACUUAGAUUUAGAUUGAUAAGUUUGUUCAUUAUGAGUAUAUAUUAAAAUUGUGGUUAUUGAAUAGGUAACACAUUAUAAUAGAUUUAUUAAUGUAAUUGCU